This 458-nucleotide ribosomal RNA is filed under the name uncultured bacterium. RNAcentral's name for it is "partial 16S ribosomal RNA". It matches the Rfam family "Bacterial small subunit ribosomal RNA", at positions 338 to 795 of the family's 1533-position model. The record is from RNAcentral.
CCUACGGGAGGCAGCAGUGGGGAAUAUUGCACAAUGGGGGAAACCCUGAUGCAGCGACGCCGCGUGAGUGAAGAAGCGUUUCGGCGCGUAAAGCUCUGUCAGCGGGGAAGAAACACGGUUCGCGAGAGCCGCGGACGGUACCCGACCAAGAAGCCCCGGCUAACUACGUGCCAGCAGCCGCGGUAAUACGUAGGGGGCAAGCGUUAUCCGGAUUUACUGGGUGGAAAGGGAGCGUAGACGGCAGCGCAAGUCUGGAGUGAAAUCCCAUGGCUUAACCAUGGAACUGCUUUGGAAACUGUGCAGCUGGAGUGCAGGAGAGGUAAGCGGAAGUCCUAGUGUAGCGGUGAAAUGCGUAGAUAUUAGGAGGAACACCAGUGGCGAAGGCGGCUUACUGGACUGUAACUGACGUUGAGGCUCGAAAGCGUGGGGAGCAAACAGGAUUAGAUACCCGUGUAGUC